GACGAACGCUGGCGGCGUGCUUAACACAUGCAAGUCGAACGGAAAGGCCCUGCUUUUGUGGGGUGCUCGAGUGGCGAACGGGUGAGUAACACGUGAGUCACCUGCCCUUGACUUGGGGAUAACUUCAGGAAACUGGGGCUAAUACCGGAUAGGAGCUCCUGCUGCAUGGUGGGGGUUGGAAAGUUUCGGCGGUUGGGGAUGGACUCGCGGCUUAUCAGCUUGUUGGUGGGGUAGUGGCUUACCAAGGCUUUGACGGGUAGCCGGCCUGAGAGGGUGACCGGCCACAUUGGGACUGAGAUACGGCCCAGACUCCUACGGGAGGCAGCAGUGGGGAAUAUUGCACAAUGGGCGGAAGCCUGAUGCAGCAACGCCGCGUGCGGGAUGACGGCCUUCGGGUUGUAAACCGCUUUCGCCUGUGACGAAGCGUGAGUGACGGUAAUGGGUAAAGAAGCACCGGCUAACUACGUG
RNAcentral lists this ribosomal RNA (468 nucleotides) under uncultured bacterium. RNAcentral describes it as "partial 16S ribosomal RNA". It matches the Rfam family "Bacterial small subunit ribosomal RNA", at positions 28 to 507 of the family's 1533-position model. The record is from RNAcentral.